This 385-nucleotide ribosomal RNA is filed under the name uncultured bacterium. Its description in RNAcentral is "bacterial SSU rRNA". It matches the Rfam family "Bacterial small subunit ribosomal RNA", at positions 28 to 414 of the family's 1533-position model. The record is from RNAcentral.
GACGAACGCUGGCGGCGUGCUUAACACAUGCAAGUCGAGCGGUAAGGCCCUUUCGGGGGUACGACGAGCGGCGAACGGGUGAGUAACACGUGGGUGACCUGCCCUCAGCUCUGGGAUAAGCCUGGGAAACUGGGUCUAAUACUGGAUAUGACUCCACGGUGCAUGUCGUGGGGUGGAAAGCCUUGUGCGGCUGAGGAUGGGCCCGCGGCCUAUCAGCUUGUUGGUGGGGUGAGGCCUACCAAGGCGACGCCGGGUAGCCGGCCUGAGAGGGCGACCGGCCACACUGGGACUGAGACACGGCCCAGACUCCUACGGGAGGCAGCAGUGGGGAAUCUUGCGCAAUGGGCGAAAGCCUGACGCAGCGACGCCGCGUGAGGGAUGACGG